AUGGCCGUUCUUAGUUGGUGGAGUGAUUUGUCUGCUUAAUUGCGAUAACGAACGAGACCUUAACCUGCUAAAUAGCCAGGCCCGCUUUGGCGGGUCGCCGGCUUCUUAGAGGGACUAUCGGCUCAAGCCGAUGGAAGUUUGAGGCAAUAACAGGUCUGUGAUGCCCUUAGAUGUCCUGGGCCGCACGCGCGCUACACUGAUGCACUCAACGAGCAUAUAACCUUGGUCGAGAGGCCUGGGUAAUCUUGUUAACAUGCAUCGUGAUAGGGAUAGAUUAUUGCAAUUAUUAAUCUUGAACGAGGAAUUCCUAGUAAUCGCAGAUCAUCAAUCUGCAAUGAUUACGUCCCUGCCCUUUGUACACACCGCCCGUCGCUCCUAC
This 379-nucleotide ribosomal RNA is filed under the name Chaetoceros curvisetus. RNAcentral describes it as "partial Eukaryotic small subunit ribosomal RNA". It matches the Rfam family "Eukaryotic small subunit ribosomal RNA", at positions 1284 to 1685 of the family's 1831-position model. Lineage: Eukaryota; Bacillariophyta; Thalassiosirophyceae; Chaetocerotales; Chaetocerotaceae. The record is from RNAcentral.